RNAcentral lists this ribosomal RNA (301 nucleotides) under uncultured bacterium. RNAcentral's name for it is "partial 16S ribosomal RNA". It matches the Rfam family "Bacterial small subunit ribosomal RNA", at positions 509 to 807 of the family's 1533-position model. The record is from RNAcentral.
CAGCCGCCGCGGUAAUACAGAGGGUGCGAGCGUUAAUCGGAUUUACUGGGCGUAAAGCGUGCGUAGGCGGCUUCUUAAGUCGGAUGUGAAAUCCCUGAGCUUAACUUAGGAAUUGCAUUCGAUACUGGGAAGCUAGAGUAUGGGAGAGGAUGGUAGAAUUCCAGGUGUAGCGGUGAAAUGCGUAGAGAUCUGGAGGAAUACCGAUGGCGAAGGCAGCCAUCUGGCCUAAUACUGACGCUGAGGUACGAAAGCUAGGGGAGCAAACAGGAUUAGAUACCCCGGUAGUCCCUGUCUCUUAUAC